UACUCGAGUGGCGAACGGGUGAGUAACACGUGGGUGAUCUGCCCUGCACUUCGGGAUAAGCCUGGGAAACUGGGUCUAAUGCCGGAUAGGAGCCAUUUUUAGUGUGAUGGUUGGAAAGUUUUUUCGGUGUAGGAUGAGCUCGCGGCCUAUCAGCUUGUUGGUGGGGUAAUGGCCUACCAAGGCGGCGACGGGUAGCCGGCCCGAGAGGGUGGACGGCCACAUUGGGACUGAGAUACGGCCCAG
RNAcentral lists this ribosomal RNA (243 nucleotides) under uncultured Actinomycetales bacterium. Its description in RNAcentral is "partial 16S ribosomal RNA". It matches the Rfam family "Bacterial small subunit ribosomal RNA", at positions 88 to 334 of the family's 1533-position model. The record is from RNAcentral. Lineage: Bacteria; Bacillati; Actinomycetota; Actinomycetes; Actinomycetales.